Molecule: long non-coding RNA, 980 nt
Filed under: Phoenix dactylifera (date palm)
Lineage: Eukaryota; Viridiplantae; Streptophyta; Magnoliopsida; Arecales; Arecaceae
Description: long non-coding RNA (PDAC_LNC008212)
Source: RNAcentral
UGAGCACAUAAGGUCAGCCCCAUUUGCACACCAGAAGGAGCAUUAGCAGACCAAGUUCAGCCUAAUGGAACAGAAGCCAAAGGGCCUAGAUUCAUUAUCCGGAGGAUCCAACGGUCCGUGGGGUUCAUAGCAGCAUGCCCAUUAUCUCCCAGCAUCUCGUGCGUCCCAGCUCCCGUGCACAAUCUCAGGCAUCCAUUUGAAGGAGCUCGUGAUUCAGCAUCCAAACCUCAUCCGUCCGGGAGCCCGUGUGCGAUUUUCCAGCAUCCCUUCCGAACCACCAUCCACAUCUUCUGGAUUAGCAAUCAACAUGUCCGAGUCUGCAAUCUCAGCAGGACCCGCAUCCCGCAUCUGGAUACUCCGCAUCACCCUUCUUCUUCAAGCAAUCCCAGCAUCCCGUGAAGCGUUGCAACCGUCCGUGAGUAUCUUCAGUUGAGCCCAUGUCACACGCGUCCGCCCGAAGCAUCUGAGUCUCAGCCCCCAGCAAAGGUCACACGCGUCCAUCCGAGUCCUAUCUUCCCUUCCGCAUCCCAUGCUUCAGGAUCCACGAUCAGAUCCCCCAAGCGAUCACGAUCUUCUGGAGUCUCAGGUCCCAGUCAUCCCGUCCGCCUCUUCUGCAUCUCAUCCCAAGCGCUAGCAGUCCAAAUCUUCUACACACGAUCAGCAUCUGCGUCCAGCUCUCAUGCUUUCCCAUCCUUCCAUCCCAGUGUCCGGGAUACUCGGCAGCUAGCACGAGAGGAGCAUCCCGUGUGAUCAGGGAAUCCAUCGGGGGUAUAUAGCGAGAUCUCUCCCUUGAUUGAAGGGGGCGGAUCUCUCUGAUUCGAAAAAAUAGAGCUCUGCCAUUCAAAAAAAAAGAAAAGGGAGAAACAGAGCAAUGCACUGUUUUCCGAAAAUAAAAGAAAAAAAAAGAGGGAGGCUAAUGUCUUUAAUGAGAGGCUGAUUUACUAGGUGAUGGGUGAAGGAAGAUCCUUUGAUAUACCGAG